This 13031-nucleotide long non-coding RNA is filed under the name Coffea arabica (coffee). RNAcentral's name for it is "long non-coding RNA (CARA_LNC007092)". Lineage: Eukaryota; Viridiplantae; Streptophyta; Magnoliopsida; Gentianales; Rubiaceae. The record is from RNAcentral.
AAACGAAUUCCUACAAUCGUGAAUUAACAAAACUUGCUACACGAAAACGUAGUAUACAAAGUUUCUAGAAUUACUAGACUUGAUUUAGAGUACCAAUAACAUUUAAUAGCAUCGGAACCUACAUUACAGUGGUCGUAUUACCUAAAGGUUCUUUUGCAGCAGCCAGGGUUCUUUUCAUGCCACCGAUGAACAGUGGUCACGUUAAAGAGUGAUGUAUCCAUUCUGCAAUGCUAAAUUACAAUUGGUAGUAGUUUCUAGGGAGGGUAUACCCAUCGACAGUGGAAAAACUUAAUCACUUCAAACUCGCUGAAAGAGACAGAGAAAGAACUUAAAACUCUUAACACCAAUUAUGAAGGUAAACUUUUCAAGCCAAUCUUACUUCCGCCAAUUAUUUUUAUCUUCACCAAACGCCGUCCCUUCCACUGGUCGCCAAGUCUUAGCACUAAACCAAAUUUAAUGCAAGUGCCACCUAGAUCCAUCCAUCAGACCUAUAUAAUGCGCUAUAUAUAUAUAUAUAUAUAUAUAUAUGGCAAACCCUAUACAUGGGAGUGGGACAUCACCCCUAAAUUUUAUUAGUUAUUUAAUUUAGAAAAAAAAAAACAGAGGAGGACACCGAUCUUACCUCCAAAUAGUACAAAGGAAAACACUAACAUGACAGAAUAGAAAUCAGGAGUACUGCUCCCUUUACAUCAUUUACUCUUGCAUUUCCUAAUUGAUGGAAGGCCUAUUUUGUCUAAUCUAAAAGCCCCUCAAACAAUGAGAGGAAGAUCUGAAAGCUGAAGGUAGGCCGCCCUAUCCAAUCAUUCAUCACAACCUACAUUGGAUAAACAAUUCACAACUUGGUUACCUUCCUGAAAGCAAUGAAAAAUUUCAACAAAAUUAGAUGAAAAGGUUAGAAGAUGUUGAACUUCCAUAUAAAAACUCCAAAAACUCCAAGCACUAAAGAGUCCAUUUCAAUAUGAAUGUUUAUAUAACCACGAGAAAUGCAUAGCCUAACCCCAAAGAGGAGGGCACGCACUUCAGCUUGAAUGCUAGUUACACUGCCUAAAAAAGAGGAGAAUGCAAGUAGGAAAUUUCCUUCACCAUCCAGCAAAACUCCACCAUUUCCUGCCCUUCCUGGAUUACCCCUUAAGCAACAAUCAGUAUUAAGUUUAACCACUCCCAAAGAUGGUGUCCUAGCUUAAGUAAAACCUGAUUUUGAAAUGAAGUGAGAGAAGCACAAAACUCUAUCCAUGUUGAAGAAGCAAAAGGAUACCCAAGAAAUUGCAACUUGAAGAUAAAUUAACAAUAUAUUGAAGUUUUAGGUUGUAGAUUCCACUUAUGGUCCAAAAAUUACAAUUGAAUGAGUUUUACCUCUUGUUACUACUCUUGUUUAACUAGGGAUCAUUUCUAACAUUACCAAAAUUCAUUCUCAUGAUGUAGUGGCUUAAACUAGUUUAGCCUUUCCUAUUCUCAUGGUCAAGAACUAAAUCUAGUCAUUUAACUUCAUGAAAUGGUAAGAAAAUCCACUUAAAUGUACAUCUACUCUCGUGAGUCUACUCCUUAAUUUUCAUUUAUCUUGUUUCAUCAUUAUUACCGAUUUUCAUUGAGUAACAAUAACUAAAAACUUGCUAUUGUGAUCAAGCAACAAUAAGUAAUAAGUAUGUGUAAAUGAACAAAUUAAUACAAGAGGUAACAAGCACUUGUACGCUUGGGGGUUGAGUACAAAGCUACUCGGAAGACUGGGCGAUAUUCGGUAUUGACUUCAUCAUUUCCAGAGUCGCAACGUCUUCUAAUUUACUUGUUCGCCUUCAACAUAAUUCCAAGGGCAAGUGGAACAAAUGAGGUGCGCACAAGUGAUAUCUAUUUCUUGGAUAAAAUGGAGCAUGGUUUAGGAAACAUCCAAGGCAUUCCAUUGGGAAGCAUUAUCACCAACCACAUGUGGACUGUGGUUCACAGUAACAACAUCAAACAUGCCUUCCCAUAUCCUCGGUUCUUGACCUUUGAGUUUCAAAGGGUUGGAGUGGAUUUUUCUAAUGCUAUCCCUAUAGGUCUCAAGAAGAAGGAUGUCUUUACACUGGAUUUUUGUAGGUUUAUUUUGAAGAGUAAAGACAUAGGUGGUCCUUCGACUCAAGGAGAUGCUCAAGGAGACAUUCGGCAUGAGGAGGGAGCUGAAAUUGAACGAAUUGAAGAAGCUCAAGGGGUUGAGACAACCACCCCACUGAUCUCAACUGAGCCGUCUUCCUCACGUCGUCCAUCUUCACCUCAAGACACUCGAACAUUUCUGAAGAAGAUAAUGGAUAAGCUGCCUUGCGUCGAGGCUGAGGUGAAGAAGAGCCGCCAAGAGAACAAACGGAACUCCGAGCGUCUUCAUCGCAUUGAGACCAAGCUGGGUAUUGAAGCUUCUCCGACUCCACCAUCUUCACCUGACCAAGUGACUACUUGAGGGAGUGCUUGUCACCUCAUGACAUUGCCACUAGUUUUUCUUUUAUUUUCUGUAGUAUUUGUGAUGUUUAAUUUUUAGUGGUUUUCAUUAUUUCUUUUGUGUGAACUAAUCCAAGUGAUCUUCAUCUAUGUUUUUCAGAUUUCUUAUGGUUGGAAAUUCAUCACUUGACCAUGGAUUCUGAUUAUGCAAGUUCAAUUGACCAGUAUUUUCUUUUACUCUUUAUUUAUUUCCCUUUUCUCACAUUGAGGACAAUGUGAAGUUUAAGUGUGGGGGAGGAAAAUAUUGAACUUGCAUUUACUUGCUAGGUGAUGAUAUUUUGUGGAUUUAAAUGCUUAGAAAUGUUGGAAUUAUGUUUGAAUUAUUUUCCAUGUGGAUAAUUUGCUUAAAAUUGGGUUUGUUGGCAAAGAGUUUUGUCCAUUAUAAGGGGAAACUCUGUCAAAAUUUUUCUAAAUCUUUUCCAAUAUUGCACUAUGGCCCAAAAAAAUUCUUUAAUUUUUUGCAUUUUAUUUUAAAAAGGGCUAAAUUGUUCCAACCUUAAGAGUUUAAUUCUUCCAAUUAUUGAAACUUUAUGUGUAUUUUGGAAGGUUUAGUCCUCAUUUAACUUGAAAAUAGUUAUUAUGCAAUUAGAAUUUUUACAUUUUAGAAAGUAUAUUUGGUAAAGUGAGGAAAAUUAUGCCUAUAAUUUUACAUGUUUAAUGAGAUUUCUUCUCUUUACUUAAUUUUGCAAGUAAGUGAUUGAUAUAGUCGAUAAAAGUUAUACUCCUCCUUUGAUUAUUCUUAUAUAUUUUCUAAGAGGGAAUAUCUAUUUAUUGUCCUUUCUUUUUGAAAAAGAAAAAAAACAAAGAGAGAAAAAUAAAAAAUAGAAAAAAGAGAAAAAAAAGUAAAUAAAAAUUGUUCUACUCCAAUGAUUCUCGUACCAAGUAACCGGGGGUUGGCAUCUACAAAUGUCGACAUUCGCGUAAAAAGGUACUUGAAUUAAGAGUAUGCAUAGCAACUUGAAUAGGUGAAAUGUUGAGUAACCGGGGAUCUUCACCUAGAAGUGUCGAUUUUCGUGUAAAAAGGCAUUCUCACUAUUUAAGUAAAAAUUAGUAUGAAUAAAUCCCUCUUAGUUAUAGAAUUUUGAGAAAAAGAUGAUUAUAGUAGGAGGAAGGCUAUAAAUUGACUAUGUGAUUUGCUUAUUUGUAAAAUUAAGUUAGGGUAAGAGAUUAAGUUUAACUUGUUGAAUUUAGGGUAUAAUUAUCUUUCCUUUACUUGAUAUUAUGAGUAUUUAGUGUAAUUUGAACAAUGAUAUAAUGAUUAUUUUCCAAGUUUUGAGAAAUUAAAUUGGACAAAGUGCAUAUAUUGUUUCACCUCUUGAAUCAUUGUAGUUCAUUAUGUGUGGUUUGCUUGAGGACAAGCAAUGAUUCAAGUGUGGGGGAGUUUGAUAAGUGACUAAUUUACGUAAUAAUUGUAUGAUAUUUUAUAUUAUUUUUAGUCACUUUAGUUAUAUUAUUGGAAGAAAAUGAAUCAUUUUGGCUAUAAUUGAUGAAAAAUGCUUUUAAGUGAUUAAAUGAGGUUUUUAUCACUUUUUAGUGGGAUUUUGUGUAUUUUGACAGUUUUGACAUAUUUUUGUAUUUUGGCUAUAACUUGAGUUACAAUAAUCGGAUUGAGAUGAUUCUUGAACCAAUUUGAAUAUAAGAGAUAGAUAUACAACUUUGGUGAAGACAUAUGAAUCCAGUUUGAAGGUUUUCAAAGUCAAAAAGCUAAAUUACAGUAGCAAAUUUCUACUGGUCGAAGCUGAAACAGGGCAAUGAGCAGGUAAGGGUAUUUCAUACAUUUCUCAGCCUACACAGAUCUAAAUGAGGUGAUUCUUGAUGCAUUGGAAAGCUAACUCAAAGGGUUACAAGUUUCAUGUUUUGGUCAAGAGCUAAAUCAGCUUUUAUCAUCAAGAAAAGUUCAGUGGAAGUUGAUGCAAAAUUGGAGCAGAGCUGGAAAUUGAACCAGAAGUGACCAAAUGGUCACUAUAGCAAUCCGGCCGGAAUUUGGCUGGAUUUCUGGCCAGAUUGUGGUCAGAAAAGGCUGCUAUGUACGCGUAAAACUCAAUUUCACCUCCACCAACUCACAUGUGAUGCUAGACAUGUGAGAAACAUUCCCAGCUGUAAAAGGGAGGUGUAAACCUUAAGUCUUGACCAAUCUUUCAUCUUUAUAUUGUCAAAUUCAUUGCAAGAUUGAGAAUAGAGAGAGAUACGGGAGAAACUUGGAGUGCAGAGAUGUAGCUCUUGCAUUUUCUGAGUAGUAGUAGUAGGUUAGUAUAAAGUAGAGUGUUAUCCAUUCUUGUUUAUUAGCUAGAUGAAGAAGAAGAUGGAGGAUGAAGAAGGCAAAGAGAUGAACUCAUGUGAAAAGGGUUACAUUCCUUCCAAACUCUUUAUCUUUUGUAGUUAAUUCCAAGUUUGGUUAAUAUACAAGUUCUGGAUUUUGUGUUCAAUAUGUGUCUUUGAAGUUUAUGCCUUGGGUUUGGUUGAACUUUCUAUAAUUGUUAGUGUUUAUUAUUUGGUUAUUUGAUUGAUAUGAUUUGAGCAAGUUAUUUAGCACUUUGGCUCUUUAAAUCAUGAUUAAUCUGGUACCAUUAAUUGUGAUUAUCUAAGAUGUUGUUUCUGUAAUGAAAAUUGAGAUUUAACACUAGUUCAAAAGUGCUAAACAUAGGGAGUACACUCAUGAAAGUAGAGGUGCACCAAUGUGAUUUUUAAUGAUUCAUUUCGUGUAAUUUCACUGAAGAAAUAACCUUGUAACUAAUUUCAUAACCAUGGGAAUAGGUAUGGAUUAGUUAUAAGUAUAAUUGAUUCACUACGAAAGUAGGAUUCAAAUGCAUAAGGAAGUUACACCAUAACUAGUCUAGAUAUAGUACUCAAUGAUCCAAAUAUAGCACUUGCAUGAGUAGUUAGGGAUACCACAACCUAAGGAGUUUUUAUUUGUUAUUUUGUAUAAUUUCAGUAGGUUAAAUUUGUUAUAAUUCGUUGAUAGUCUAAAAAAUAAAGAAGCUUUAGUAAUACCGGUAAUUGUUCACUCUUCCCUGUGGGAUCGACCCGAUAUAUGCCCUAAACUAUUAGUUGACUUGUAUACUUGCAGUGAACGGGUGUAAUUCGAUUUUUUUUAACUUGUACGUAUAUGUAAAAUACCCGUCAAAGGAAAUAAACACAUAAAUCAAAUAUAGCACAUAGCACAUAAGCAUAAUAUCUAGAUGCAAAAAUCCUAGGAAAGUGAGUAAACACAUAAGCACACAAGCAUGUAAACACAUAAACAAAUAAAAUUGAAUAAAGACUUAACUAUUACAUUCGGGGGUCCCUAACUACAAUCUAAAGGGGUAAAGAAUGAAAUGAAAUAAUAACCUGACUAUCACAAUUUGGCAUUUUAAUGCCUCUCAAAUAACCAAAAAUUAAACUAAAAUAAAUGUACAAAAUUAAAACAAAUAAAGUGAAUAAAUAAAUAAAUGAAAUAAAAUAAAAAGUAUUCAAAAAACAUGCAAUUGCACACAUAAAAUCACAUAGGAGCACAUAGGAUCAAGUAAAAUGAAAAUAAAGGAGUAGAAUGUACCUCUCUUAAAUUGGUGAUCUAAUGAAAUGAAAAUUCUCUUAUUUACCCUCCAAAAGAAAGGAAAUGGUCAAGGCACCAAUUUAUUUGAUAAACACAAAACAAAUCAUUUGAAAUCAACUCAAGGUUCCUAAAAUUUAGAAAUUAAAUGCCAUUUAAACUAAACAAGUAGUUAAACAAUUCAACUUUAUCAAACAAAAUGCAAAUUAAUGAUUCAAACGUCAUCACCUUAAUUCACUAAAUUAUGGAGCAUUCAAAAUCUAAACUCAACAAGUUCACUUGAAAUUCUAUUGACAAAACUCGAGUUAACUCAUAAAGAUUUGCAAACAUUGAGAAAAUUUCAGGAGUCAAAUUAUUAUUACAAAUAUUAGGGGGUGAAAUCAAAGCAAAAAUAAAGCCCUCAAGACCAAUUAAGUUCUAAUUAUUUCCUAAAACCAGAAAAUAACUUUGUCUAAAACAUGGUUAAAACAUAAAAGGAUUGAUUGAAUUUCAAAAAGGGUAAAAUUGAUUGAGUUUUCCAUAUUCUUGUGCCAUAACAGCAUUACUUAGAAAACUAGGGGUUAAAGUGCAAUUUUUAAAACUUUUCAUGCAAAGGGCGAAGCUUUCUUCUUCCUUCGUCUGCAACUUCACAACUAUGACCUAUGACGUUCAGGUCAUACGCAGCUAACAAAAUUCAAACAAACAGCAAUCUUUCGAACCAAAACAACACUUUAUGCAUCUUAUCAUCAAAACCCAACCAUAUAUUAUGCAUUCCCCAGGAUUCUCCAACCCAGAUCACGCACAAAGACCAAAAAAAAAAAACAGUCAUGAACUCCUGCACACCCAACAACUAACCUCACAUGAAUUCCCAAACAAAGUUCCGAAACAUGUCUCAGACGAGGAAUAUCUUUCUUAAGAUGACAAGGAAUAUCUCUCUCAAACUCAUCAAGGAUUGGCAAAAAUGCAGCAAGUGAUAAAAAAACCACCUUUUAACUAGCAGACAUGAAGAUCUAAGUGAUAAAGGCAGCAUAGCUACAACAACAGCCAAACAGUUCAAAAUUCACAUCUUAUAGCCUUCGAUUCUCAUGCAAAAUAGUGUUAACACAUCCAAGAAAGAGGCUAGGAUUACCUUGAAGCUUUUGUAAAGCAGGAAUAAACGUGAAAAUCCUCCAAGAGAUCACGACAAUCUGGAAACGCAGCUCAAGAAGACUUGCUGCAGAAAUUUCAGCGCUGACAAAAUCAGCACUUUGGGUCGCGAUUUGAGAGGGUUAGAGGGAUUUUUACUGAGCGAUUUCUGGUAUCCAUAGAUGGUGCAGCAAGAAAAUCUCCUCAAAAGGAGGUCGGGAUUUGUUGAAAUAGGGUGAUGAACAGAAUAGAUUCAUCAAUCCUAGCUCAACUUUCUGCAGAAAAAUUUCUGCACUUUUCUCUCCUCUCUUGAUCCUCAACCGUCACCUCCUCUCCACCUCUCUCUCUCUCGAUUUUUUUCCUUUUUCUCCCUUUGCCUUCUUGCUUUCGUUUCUUGCCCCCGUAGCUUCCUUCCCCAGCUUUUCUUGUUUUUUCCAGAUUUUCCUCUAACUCCCACCUGUCUUGCCACCUAUCCCCCUUGCAUGUGUUGUGCAAAAAAAAAGACACAUGUCUAAUGCUCCCCUAACACAGUUAGCUACCAUGCAUGCCCUUCGCCUAUCUAUUUUGCAUGUAUUCCAUAUAUUUUUGUAUUUUCUCUUUUUAUUUUGUUUUUCAAAACAAAUUUAGGGUAAAUAAAAUGUUAAACUCCUAAUUGAAAUUGCCUUACGAAAAUUUCAUUUUAUUUGAAGAAAUUAAGUUUGAAAAAACUAAGAACAAAUUUUUGUGCAACUUUUCUUUUUUAGAAAUUUAAUGCAAAAAUGUUUUAAAAUGAAAAAUGAUAAACCUAAUUUACUAAAAUAAAUAAACACAAACUAUUAUUUUGCAAAUUUAGUCAACUAAAAUAAAAAUAAAAUAGAAUAAAAUGAGAAUAAAUAAAAAAUAAAGCUAAAAUCAAAGUAAAUAAAAUUAAAAAUUUGGUGUCUACACCUUGUCCCUCUUUGUCUGAGUUUCGAAGAAACUUGAGGUAAAGACGUAGACAGCAAAUACUUACCUGUAACUAUUCUGCUGUAAACUGAAAUAGCAAACAUAUAAAGGUCAGUGAGAUAAAAAUCCGAACCUGCCAUAACAUCGGUCAGUGGUAUAAAAACCCGAGUCUACCGUAAAAUUGGUCAAAAAUUGACUAGAUUGUUUUAAAAAUGAAUAAACCGGUAAAAUGGAUUGGAUGGAAUUGAUGAUUUAUUCAAAAAUUGACUGAAUUAUCCUAAAAAUGAAUUGAUCAAAUAGACUGUAUGUAGUGGAUAACUUAUCCAAAAAGAAAAUGACUCAAUUAUCCUAGAUGUUAAUAAACUCGUAAAAAUGGGAUGGAUAGAAUUGAUGGUUUAUUUGAAAAUUGACUAGAUUGCCCUAAAAGUGAAAAAUCUAGUAAAAUGAAUUAUUUGAAAAUUGACUAAAUUGUCAACCGAUUUGUGGUUUUCAAAUUGUACGAAUUUCGUUACAAUGCAUUAGUUCAAGAUUUGGUCUCAAUAUAUUUAUCGUUUCAACAAUGAGGAAUUAUGUGUGAAUUUCUUCAACUUAAUGUCCUUUAUGCCAGGGAAUUUUACCAACUAUGUUAAAAUAGCCAAAAGAUAAUUGUUAGACACUCAUACUCUAAUGUGCAAAAAAUUGCUCUAUCAUCUUCGAGACUAAUGUCAUCAUGGAAGGGACCUGAUUCUACCUUACCUUGUGCACUACCCCUUUGGAUGGUACAAGAAAUAUAAAUGUGUAAGCCUCAUUGGAUUACAUAUCCGAGACAUAAGGUGGCUUAUUCCUAUUGUGGGAUUCCCUAUGCGGCAUUCCCUUCUAAAGUUGAUGCAUGAUGCCAAUUUAUUAAAGUGAAUAAAUAUGCAAUUUGAAAUAAAAACAUGACCUAAGGGACCCCUCCUAUGCUAGGGUGGAGUUAAAAUGAUGUGCAAUUAUUAACCUACGAAUGCAAUACAUCGGAAUUUUAAAUGUGCAAUAGCCUAUCUAAGAGGGUAGGUUCUAAAAGGGUAUCAUGCCAGAUCUCUUAUUUUCUAGCGUUUGUAAAUACAAAAGACAAGAAAACAAGGAAAUGUUAGUUCAACACAUAACACGUUGUGACAAUUAAAUGAUACAAAAAGCAAAAAGAAAAAUAAGGAAAGAGGGGUGGAAUCCCUCCCCUCAUGCCUAGUGUUCCUAGUUGGGUAAGGUUGACUCUAUCUAGAGUAUUUCUAAUAUGGAUGCAUGAGGUUUGGCUUAUUAAUACAUCUAGAUUCGAUAAGGCUUCAGGCUUCCAAGCCUUCAGACCAAGAAGCAAAGGGUCAUCAAUCCAAGGCCUUUGGUCGGUGGCUUGAGUGAUCCCUUAGGCAUCACUAUGGGUGCAGCGUAAACUAUCCACCUACCUAAGGAAAUCGAUCAUAAUCCUACAAGGAGAUGUGGGAUGGCGCCCACGAGAAAGAAUAAAAAUAAGGUAAAAGUAAUGCAUGCACGUAUGAGGUGCUUCCUUUUGAGGGGAGGAAUUAAAUACCAUAAAAUGCGGGUGAAGGUUCUAGGAUGGCUACCCCCUCCCCAAGAUGCAAGCGCGAUGUAUAAACAUAAGUGAAUGAAAGAAAAUAAACACGUUUAUUCAUCACAUACACCGAUAUCGAGAUGAUCGAGCGUGUUAAAUGCAAGAAACGCUAAAAGAAAAAAAUGCAACUUAAAAUCUCCAAAUGUGAUAUAUAAAAAGGUUAGAAAAAGAAAAGAAUUGAUUAAAUCAAAUGCUCGGACUCCCUAAAGUUCCCAAUGGAGUUGCCAAGCUACCGUGCCCUUUUUUUGAAAAAAAAAUAAAAUAAAUUAUGAGGAUUUAUAAAAAUGAAUUUUGAUUAAUUUUGAUUUGAAAAAAAAAAUUGAGUUUUUGAUUUUUAGAAAAUAAAUAAAGAAGAUGGGCCAAAAUGAUACUUAAAAGUGUGACGGUUUUGGCCCCAAAAUAAUAGUCUAAAAAAGGUUUUUUAAGGAAAAAUAAGAGUCGCUACUUGGUAUUGAGUUAACAUGUACCAAGUCACCUAAAAUAAAUUAUAAAUAAAAAAUAGAGAAAAACCCUUUUUAAACGAUUGCAAGUCUGCGAAAAUCAAGAGAAAUGGGCUUGGGAAUCACGAUUGAAGAAAAGGGAAGGUAAGGAUAAAAUCCAAGGCACCCUUUCAACCUAACCAACGCUAGUUGCGUGAUUUAGUCAAAAUUUUUCUUAAUUUAACCUAAAAACCUAUCACAUUUGGAUGUCAUUAUAUGAAUGCAAAUCUAAACCUAAUUGCUAUCGAAAGGGUCGAGAUGUCUCUUCGAAAUUUAAUUGGUACAAAUCGUAUUAAUUGCAAUGGCCAAAAAUGAUCUUUAGAAGAGGUCACGAGUAUAUAAAGAAUGAGACUCGAAGAAAAGAAAAGAAAAUAAUAAUAUACAAAUAUAUAUGAUUUAAAGGAUGCAUUAUAACGGGUGAGGGGAACUAAUUUUCGUGAUUUAGAUUUUCCUUUUUAUAGAGAAGAUACGAGCGUGCUAAGGUUAAGGGACCAUACUCGUCCAUAUCUCAUAUUUAAAAGGUACUCUUCUAUCUAAUCAAGCAAAUGAUCUAAUUUAGUUCUAAUUUGCUUAAAUGGAAUGCAAGUCUACGUAUUAUGUUUCGCAUAUAGUGAUAAGGGAUAUACAUAGGGGAAAUAUCAUGCAAAAUGAUAAGGAUCCUAAAAAGUAGAAAAAUAUGCAUGAAAUGUAGUGAUUUGUCACGCAAACAUGAUCUAACGCGUGGUAGUCCCUAAGGGUCUAGCGUUGGACUAACCCAUGUCUAUAAGUUCUUACUAGCGUUGGACUAGUGAGAAAUCGGAAAAAGGGUCCACAACUAGCAUUGGACUAGUGUGGUGACGUCAUGCACUUAUUAUAAUCAAAUAAAUCAUAUAAAACAUAAUAAAAGAAAUAAACACAUAAAUCCCAUAUAGCACAUAGCACAUAAGCAUAAUAUCUGGAUGCAAAGACCCUAGGAAAGCGAGUAAACACAUAAGCACACAAGCAUGCAAAUACAUAAACAAAUAAAAGUGAAUAAAGACCUAACUAUUACAUUCGGGGAGCCCUAACUACAAUUUAAAGGGGUAAAGAAUGAAAUGAAAUAAUAACCUAACUAUCACAAUUUGGCAUUUAAAUGCCUCUCAAAUAACCAAAAAUUAAACUAAAAUAAAUAUACAAAAUUAAAACAAAUAAAAUGAAUAAAUAAAUAAAUUAAAUAAAAUAAAAAAUAUUCAAAAAAACAUGCAAUUACACACAUAAAAUCACAUGGGAGCACAUAGAAUUGAGUAAAAUCAAAAUAAAGGAGUAGAGUGUACCUCUCUUGAAUUGGUGACCUAAUGAAACGAAAAUUCUCUUAUUUACCCUCCAAAAGAAAGGAAAUGGUCAAGGCACCAAUUUAUUUGAUAAACACAAAACAAAUCAUUUGAAAUCAACUCAAGGUUCCUAAAAUUUAGAAAUUAAAUGCCAUUUAAACUAAACAAGUAGUUAAACAAUUCAACUUUAUCAAACAAAAUGCAAAUUAAUGAUUCAAACGUCAUCACCUUAAUUCACUAAAUUAUGGAGCAUUCAAAAUCUAAACUCAACAAGUUCACUUGAAAUUCUAUUGACAAAACUCGAGUUAACUCAUAAAGAUUUGCAAACAUUGAGAAAAUUUCGGGAGUCAAAUUAUUAUUACAAAUAUUAGGGGGUGAAAUCAAAGCAAAAAUAAAGCCCUCAAGACCAAUUAAGUUCUAAUUAUUUCCUAAAACCAGAAAAUAACUUUGUCUAAAACAUGGUUAAAACAUAAAAGGAUUGAUUGAAUUUCAAAAAGGGUAAAAUUGAUUGAGUUUUCCAUAUUCUUGUGCCAUAACAGCAUUACUUAGAAAACUAGGGGUUAAAGUGCAAUUUUUGAAACUUUUCAUGCAAAGGGCGAAGCUUUCUUCUUCCUUCGUCUGCAACUUCACAACUAUGACCUAUGACGUUCAGGUCAUACGCAGCUAAUAAAAUUCAAACAAAUAGCAAUCUUACGAACCAAAACAACACUUUAUGCAUCUUAUCAUCAAAACCCAACCAUAUAUUAUGCAUUCCCCAGGAUUCUCCAACCCAGAUCACGCACAAAGACCAAAAAAAAAACAGUCAUGAACUCCUGCACACCCAACAACUAACCUCACAUGAAUUCCCAAACAAAGUUCCGAAACAUGUCUCAGACGAGGAAUAUCUUUCUUAAGAUGACAAGGAAUAUCUCUCUCAAACUCAUCAAGGAUUGGCAAAAAUGCAGCAAGUGAUAAAAAAACCACCUUUUAACUAGCAGACAUGAAGAUCUAAGUGAUAAAGGCAGCAUAGCUACAACAACAGCCAAACAGUUCAAAAUUCACAUCUUAUAGCCUUCGAUUCUCAUGCAAAAUAGUGUUAACACAUCCAAGAAAGAGGCUAGGAUUACCUUGAAGCUUUUGUAAAGCAGGAAUAAACGUGAAAAUCCUCCAAGAGAUCACGACAAUCUGGAAACGCAGCUCAAGAAGACUUGCUGCAGAAAUUUCAGCGCUGACAAAAUCAGCACUUUGGGUCGCGAUUUGAGAGGGUUAGAGGGAUUUUUGCUGAGCGAUUUCUGGUAUCCAUAGAUGGUGCAGCAAGAAAAUCUCCUCAAAAGGAGGUCGGGAUUUGUUGAAAUAGGGUGAUGAACAGAAUAGAUUCAUCAAUCCUAGCUCAACUUUCUGCAGAAAAAUUUCUGCACUUUUCUCUCCUCUCUUGAUCCUCAACCGUCACCUCCUCUCCACCUCUCUCUCUCGGUUUUUUUCCUUUUUCUCCCUUUGCCUUCUUGCUUUCGUUUCUUGCCCCCGCAGCUUCCUUCCCCAGCUUUUCUUGUUUUUUCCAGAUUUUCCUCUAACUCCCACCUGUCUUGCCACCUAUCCCCCUUGCAUGUGUUGUGCAAAAAAAAAGACACAUGUCUAAUGCUCCCCUAACACAGUUAGCUACCAUGCAUGCCCUUCGCCUAUCU